This 789-nucleotide ribosomal RNA is filed under the name uncultured Methanoregulaceae archaeon. RNAcentral's name for it is "bacterial SSU rRNA". It matches the Rfam family "Archaeal small subunit ribosomal RNA", at positions 85 to 879 of the family's 1478-position model. The record is from RNAcentral. Lineage: Archaea; Methanobacteriati; Methanobacteriota; Methanomicrobia; Methanomicrobiales; Methanoregulaceae.
ACGGCUCAGUAACACGUGGACAACCUACCCUCAGGAGGGGGAUAACCCCGGGAAACUGGGGAUAAUACCCCAUAGACCAGGGAUGCUGGAAUGCCUCCUGGUUCAAAGGUCCGCCGCCUGAGGAUGGGUCUGCGGCCGAUUAGGUUGUUGUUGGGGUAACGGCCCAACAAGCCUUUGAUCGGUACGGGUUGUGAGAGCAAGAGCCCGGAGAUGGAUUCUGAGACACGAAUCCAGGCCCUACGGGGCGCAGCAGGCGCGAAAACUUUACAAUGCGAGAAAUCGUGAUAAGGGAACCCCGAGUGCCCGUAAAUUCGGGCUGUCCGCCAGUGCAAAUAGCUGGUGAAGAAAGGGCCGGGCAAGACCGGUGCCAGCCGCCGCGGUAAUACCGGCGGCUCGAGUGGUGGCCACUAUUACUGGGCUUAAAGCGUCCGUAGCUUGAUUGUUAAGUCUCUUGGGAAAUCCACCGGCUCAACCGAUGGGCGUUCAGGAGAAACUGGCAAUCUAGGGACCGGGAGAGGUGAGAGGUACUCCAGGGGUAGGAGUGAAAUCCUGUAAUCCUUGGGGGACCACCUGUGGCGAAGGCGUCUCACUAGAACGGCUCCGACAGUGAGGGACGAAAGCUGGGGGAGCAAACCGGAUUAGAUACCCGGGUAGUCCCAGCUGUAAACGAUGCGCGUUAGGUGUAUCGGUGACCACGAGUCAUCGAGGUGCCGAAGGGAAACCGUGAAACGUGCCGCCUGGGAAGUACGGUCGCAAGGCUGAAACUUAAAGGAAUUGGCGGGGGAGCAC